UUAGCUGGGAUCUGUUUUGUCAAGGUUAGAGGUCAUGCUGGAUGACGGAAAGAACUCCUAACCAAGAUUGGUUAACAAAGGUUGUAGCCUCAAAUUCACUAUUACAGGUGUAACCAUGGGACAUUUAUUGAACCUCUCUGAGUAUCAGUGUCUUCAACUUCAGGUGGAACUAAUGAUACUUACCUACUUUGCAAGAUGGUUGUGAAGCUCAUAUAACGAGAUUAUGGAACAUUGAGAUGGGCCUUGUGCUUGUGACUUGGCCCAAUAGAAUCCCAACCUCUGAUACAUGUAAUUGAAGCACUACCAGGACCAUAAAUGGAAUAGCAAGAAGAGAGCAAAGGCUUUGAGAUCAGACUGGUGCUGGUUCAAAUGUUGAAACUACCACUCGCUAGUUGAAUGCCCGUGAACAAAUGAAUUACGCCUGUGGAGUCUCACUUUUGGAAAACUAAGCAAUUGAAAAAAGCAAUACUUUUCUCACUGAGUUCUGAAAAGGAUGACAAUGGUGUGCCGGUAAAGGUUCAACAACCAGCUUUGCGAACUCAAAAAGCCCUGGCUGAUAGGCUCCCGUCGUGUAAAUACUCUCACCCCAGCCGCUUCAAGCUGCCAACAUGGCGUCGCCGGAUGCCGAAUGCGUCCGCUUGGCUCUUGCAAGCCAGCCUGAGCCAGCGCCAGCCCACCUCUCAUAUCAGAUGAGUUAAUGAAUGUGAAGACCCAGGACAGCUUUCCCAUUUACCAGAAAAAUCACAAAUGUACAUUGGCUUUAUUUUGCUUGGGCCCUGUCUUCCAAGUCCCAGAAUCUGAGGCAGACGCUGAGGUGAGCUGCCGAGGGGAAAUCGGUAAGUGCUUCCAUUCCUGGAAUAAAGGAAAUGGAGGUGAUAACUGGAGGGAAGGAGCAUCCUGGUGCUGAGGUGAGAACCAGGUACCAGAGGAAGAUAACCAGCAGGAGAAAGAGGUCUCCUUCCUCCAAGCCCUGGAUACAGUGAAGGAUACUGGGAAUUCAUACCCAGACUAGCCUUGGUAUCACCCAGAUCUUGUUCAUUCCACCAUCACCUAGGUAACCGGGGCAGUGUGGGAUUAGUUGCCUGGCAACAAUGCCCAUCUCUCUACUCCUGUACACACCCUCAGGCCCUCACCCCUGUGACAUUCCCUCCCCACAGGCCACUGCCUGUGCCAGCAACACGACUCUCUACUGCCACUCCAAGCCCCUGGCUAAGCCAGUCCCAGGGCCCCCUUAACUGGAGUACACCUGCCCAGAAAUCCGUAAAUCUGCUAGUUCUCCUAGAGAAGCACCUAGAAAAGCACCAGAGACGAAGAGUCCAGAUCAAGAGCCAGGGGCCUUAGAGUCCAGUCUCAGCUCCACAGAGGACCAGCUGCUGCAAGACCUCGGGCAGGUUGCUUGACUUCUCCGAGUUUUUGUUUCUUCAUCCCCCAAAUGGAGAUUUCCCUCUCAUCUGCACAAUCGGGAUUUUCCUUCAUCUGCAAAAUGAGGGAUUACAACACUUGCUAGGCCAAUCCACACAGUUAUCCUCGGCCCGUGUGUGAAGAGUCCUCUGACGCACAUCGAGUGCAAGGGGAGAUGAGGUGAUUAUUAUAAUCGCCUGCAAUGCUGGCAUUACAUGGGCUUCCAGCCUCUCCAGAGUUCCCCAAAGCUAGGCUGAGGCCUUGGCGCCAGGAAACCAAGGGAUGAGUGAAGCCGAACCUCUUCCAGGACAAAGCAGGUGACAUGUUCUAAUGGAUUCUGAAGAGGGUUUGUGUUCCUGCCCUUAAGCAGUGUAGCGCCAUUUGUACAGGCGGCCCGGAAGCCCGCCCAACGGCUCGGGCUCUCCGAGAGGAAAAUUGGCAGCUCCGGGAAGUGAGCAGCUCUCAGGUCGGACUUGAUUAGGGACCAAUUUGGGCCUGUUAGCCGAGCCUCCAGUAUCAUCUCGGCCAAUUACUGGCCCAGCCUGGCCUGCAGCUGGCUGUUCCUUCCAAGCUGGACACUUUUAUUUCCAGCAGAGCUCUCCCUGCGCCUGAGGCAAGAGACCGGGGUGACUGUAGCCCAUUAACAAGAUGGAGAGAGAAAUAACUCACUCUGUUAAGGUCAUACUGAACAAAUUAUGAAUAACGGAUGAACGAGGAAGUGACCAUUCCUUGAGCCCCAGAGAGACUCAAACACAAGGCCGGUUAGCUGAACAAUGCCGCCCCAUUUGGGACGAAGCAGACCCAGCUUACUGAGUUGGGGCUGCUGGACAUUUACAGAAAAAACCUUAGCCUGGUCUGAUUUUUCUCCACGCUUUCCCAAGACAGAGCCAUUUCCAAUUUAAAAAGUGUCAAAAACAUGAGGCGAUGAGGGAGAAGAAAGAAGCACCUUGAUAUCCACACAGAAGUUUUCAGUAUUAUUAGUGCUAAGUGUUACAAAUGCUCAUUUUUCCUUCUUCAUCACCAUUAGCUAACCUUAGUAGAGUGCUAGUUAUUCACAUGAGGUUUGAGGGAGUGGGUGGUGAUGAGGCAGGAAGGGAGCUGGCGACCCAAGAAACACAAUGGGAAAUUAACGCUGGGACGAUGUUAUGACGGCAAUUGCCGAGUCGUAAGUAGGCUAAGCAAAUAGAAAGUUGGUCAAGUCUGAGGUUUUCUAGAACUUUCUUCCGCCUAGACUUUAGUCAAGAAAAGGGGAAUAUCUAAGCUUAAAGAUAAAAGCGAUAGGAGAAAAGAUGCUAUGACCUUGACGAACACAUUCAGACAAGCAGACACUACUAGUUCACAGCCUUGAAAGAAAUUAUUCCUUUGACACCAGAUAUGGAAAAUUCUCUAUGCCUCAUAGAGGGAAGGAGGGGAUUUAGUGGGGGAACUAAAUACAUGGGGAAACAAAUACAGAUAAAAAAGAAGCCUCCGUCCCUGCCUUCAGGGAGUCCAUCGUCUAAUGAGAGGUUAAAACCAGUAGGACUGUAAUCGUCCUUAUAAACCUGAGUGAAAACCCAACCGACAAUGUGUACAAUGAACCCCAGAGACUCAAUCAGUUCCUAUUACUGUGAAAUCUCAGGUUAACCAAAGAUUCCCAGCCAGUGACGCACUGACUGUAAGCAAUAUUUGAAACAAUAAAACCUCCUGUAACAGGAAAAGAA
Felis catus (domestic cat) is the source of this 3101-nucleotide long non-coding RNA. RefSeq lists it as uncharacterized. The transcript is spliced from 2 exons. The record is from RefSeq and is a predicted model, not a curated record. NCBI's taxonomy places the organism in Eukaryota, Metazoa, Chordata, Mammalia, Carnivora, Felidae.